RNAcentral lists this ribosomal RNA (194 nucleotides) under uncultured bacterium. Its description in RNAcentral is "partial 16S rRNA". It matches the Rfam family "Bacterial small subunit ribosomal RNA", at positions 338 to 524 of the family's 1533-position model. The record is from RNAcentral.
CCUACGGGAGGCAGCAGUGGGGAAUUUUGGACAAUGGGCGAAAGCCUGAUCCAGCCAUGCCGCGUGCAGGAUGAAGGCCUUCGGGUUGUAAACUGCUUUUGUACGGAACGAAACGGUCUUUUCUAAUACAGAAGGCUAAUGACGGUACCGUAAGAAUAAGCACCGGCUAACUACGUGCCAGCAGCCGCGGUAAU